AGUGAACGCUGGCGGUAGGCCUAACACAUGCAAGUCGAACGGCAGCACAGUAAGAGCUUGCUCUUACGGGUGGCGAGUGGCGGACGGGUGAGGAAUACAUCGGAAUCUACUUUUUCGUGGGGGAUAACGUAGGGAAACUUACGCUAAUACCGCAUACGACCUACGGGUGAAAGCAGGGGAUCUUCGGACCUUGCGCGAUUGAAUGAGCCGAUGUCGGAUUAGCUAGUUGGCGGGGUAAAGGCCCACCAAGGCGACGAUCCGUAGCUGGUCUGAGAGGAUGAUCAGCCACACUGGAACUGAGCCACGGUCCAUACUCCUACGGGAGGCAGCAGUGGGGAAUAUUGGACAAUGGGCGCAAGCCUGAUCCAGCCAUACCGCGUGGGUGAAGAAGGCCUUCGGGUUGUAAAGCCCUUUUGUUGGGAAAGAAAAGCAGCAGGUUAAUACCCCGCUGUUCUGACGGUACCCAAAGAAUAAGCACCGGCUAACUUCGUG
RNAcentral lists this ribosomal RNA (492 nucleotides) under uncultured bacterium. Its description in RNAcentral is "partial 16S ribosomal RNA". It matches the Rfam family "Bacterial small subunit ribosomal RNA", at positions 29 to 507 of the family's 1533-position model. The record is from RNAcentral.